AUGCACGCUGGCGGCGUGCCUAAUACCUGCCAGUCGAGCGAACAGACGAGGAGCUUGCUCCUCUGACGUUAGCGGCGGACGGGUGAGUAACACGUGGAUAACCUACCUAUAAGACUGGGAUAACUUCGGGAAACCGGAGCUAAUACCGGAUAAUAUAUUGAACCGCAUGGUUCAAUAGUGAAAGACGGUUUUGCUGUCACUUAUAGAUGGAUCCGCGCCGCAUUAGCUAGUUGGUAAGGUAACGGCUUACCAAGGCAACGAUGCGUAGCCGACCUGAGAGGGUGAUCGGCCACACUGGAACUGAGACACGGUCCAGACUCCUACGGGAGGCAGCAGUAGGGAAUCUUCCGCAAUGGGCGAAAGCCUGACGGAGCAACGCCGCGUGAGUGAUGAAGGUCUUCGGAUCGUAAAACUCUGUUAUUAGGGAAGAACAAAUGUGUAAGUAGCUAUGCACGUCUUGACGGUACCUAAUCAGAAAGCCACGGCUAACUACGUG
RNAcentral lists this ribosomal RNA (496 nucleotides) under uncultured bacterium. RNAcentral's name for it is "partial 16S ribosomal RNA". It matches the Rfam family "Bacterial small subunit ribosomal RNA", at positions 29 to 507 of the family's 1533-position model. The record is from RNAcentral.